Camelina sativa (false flax) is the source of this 911-nucleotide non-coding RNA. The record is from RefSeq and is a predicted model, not a curated record. NCBI's taxonomy places the organism in Eukaryota, Viridiplantae, Streptophyta, Magnoliopsida, Brassicales, Brassicaceae.
CUUGCCUAAUAACAACAUUCUAAUAAUCUGAAAUUUAUAAAGUCCCAAAAUCUCAGCAAACCGGAAUCUGAUUUCUCAAUUCUCGCUUCACCGUGUCUCAAGAACUCGCCACCGGCGUUAUCGCCCAUAAUCUGAAGAAACGGAAACAGAGAAGGGUGUAGAUUUAGGGUACUACACCGUAGACAACUCCGGUUAGUGGUGGACCUGUUCUUUUAAAUCAGAAGAAGAAUCAGAGACAAUGACAAGGGAUUGCGCUCUAGAAACUUCCUCAGGUUAGGAUCAAAAAGGUCGGAAAAGUUAGUCCAGCCUUUGGACUUGAUUUGGUUGCAGGCCUCGGUUUCAGCGCUGGUCUUAUUAGAGAAUUUUGAGCUGGUUGUUGAAUUGGUGUAUGCUUUGGCUAUGGUACGUUGGAAGAGGAGCUGCUUAUGAUCAUUCUCGUUCUUAUUAUAACGUUGGGGAGCCAUCUCUAUCGGUUGCUGUAUGGAGACUAUGUGGGCUGAUUUGUUACUAAAUUUUCUGGUGAUUUGAACGGACACGUCAUUGUUUUGUGGGUUUAAGAUAUGGAUUUGGUUACUGGCCAAAACAUGUUCUUGUUAGAUACACAUGGAAUAUAUUCACUUGAAUGAAAAAGCUGAUGUGUUAUGCUUAUGAGAUCAAAAUGUUUGGAUCGGUUGGUAUGUCGUCGUCUCUAUAUUUAUUUCAUCUUAGUUAGACGACAACUUGCAGCAGUUUCAACGAACUACAAGUCUACAAUGCGUUGAAUGCCAUAUGAGUGUUUUUUUUUCCACAGAUUUCUGCUAAUUCUAUAUGCCUUAGUUUUGGUGUAUUCUUAGAGCAUGGGCAUUGGUGUACACUUGGUUUUGGUCCCCCAAGUUUAAUAAUAUUAUUAUGAGAGUUUCUUAUUUUUAGUA